This 1272-nucleotide ribosomal RNA is filed under the name metagenome. RNAcentral describes it as "SSU rRNA". It matches the Rfam family "Eukaryotic small subunit ribosomal RNA", at positions 440 to 1801 of the family's 1831-position model. The record is from RNAcentral.
AUUACCCAAUCCUAACUCAGGGAGGUAGUGACAAGAAAUAACAACGCGGGGCUCUGUCUCGCGAUUGGAAUGAGAACAAUGUAAAAGCCUUAACGAGGAUCCACUGGAGGGCAAGUCUGGUGCCAGCAGCCGCGGUAAUACCAGCUCCAGUAGCGUAUAUUAAAGUUGUUGCAGUUAAAAAGCUCGUAGUUGAAAUUCUGUACGGAACGACGUCUUCGGAUGAUCGAGCCGUGCAUCCGCCUGAGCAGCAGGUCGGUACUUUGUUGCCGGUUUGUGAUCAGGCACUUUACCUUGAGCAAAUUAGAGUGUUCCAGGCAGGCGUCAGCCUGAAUAGUCCAGCAUGGAAUAAUAGAAGAGGACUGAAAACCACUGUUGGUGUUGUGGUAAUCAGUAAUGAUUAAUAGGGAUAGUUGGGGGCAUUCGUAUUUAAUUGUCAGAGGUGAAAUUCUAUGAUUUAUUAAAGACGAACCUAUGCGAAAGCAUUUGCCAAGGAUGUUUUCAUUAAUCAAGAACGAAAGUUAAGGGAUCAAAGACGAUCAGAUACCGUCGUAGUCUUAACCAUAAACUAUGCCGACUAGAGAUUGGAGGUGCAACUCCAAGACUCCUUCAGCAUCUUACGAGAAAUCAAAGUCCUUGGGUUCUGGGGGGAGUAUGGUCGCAAGACUGAAACUUAAAGGAAUUGACGGAAGGGCACCACCAGGUGUGGAGCCUGCGGCUUAAUUUGACCCAACACGGGGAAACUUACCAGGUCCAGACAUAGCGAGGAUUGACAGACUGACAGCUCUUUCUUGAUUCUAUGGGUGGUGGUGCAUGGCCGUUCUUAGUUGGUGGAGUGAUUUGUCUGGUUAAUUCCGAUAACGAACGAGACCUCAGCCUGCUAAAUAGUCAGAGUCCGAUUGGGCUUGUGACUUCUUAGAGGGACUGUGGGGGCUACUCCACGGAAGUUUGAGGCAAUAACAGGUCUGUGAUGCCCUUAGAUGUCCUGGGCCGCACGCGCGCUACACUGAUGCAGGCAGCAAGCACCGUGGCAGAAAUGUCUCGGAAAACUACAAACUGCAUCGUGCUGGGGAUUGACUCUUGGAAUUCUUGGUCAUAAACGAGGAAUACCUAGUAAACGCAAGUCAUCAGCUUGCAUUGAUUACGUCCCUGCCCUUUGUACACACCGCCCGUCGCUCCUACCGAUUUGAGUGGUGCGGUGAACCCUUCGGACCGGUACGCCGGAAAGUUGAGUAAACCUUACCACUUAGAGGAAGGAGAAGUCGUAACAAGGUA